AGGAGCCGCUGCCGCCCGAGAGGGAGAGAGAGGGAGCCGAGAAGCCACAGCGCGGACGAUCCUUUUCCUCCUCCGUUUGCCGCCGGAAAGAAGCCGCCGGAUCUUCGCCCGGGCUGAGGUAAGAUUUCUAGCUUCACCUCUUGGUUAUACCAUUUGAAAAGAAGAAGAAGAAGAAGAAGAAGAAUAGAGAAGGAAAAGAGGGGGAGGCACCCAUGGCAAUCGGCUUGCCUUCGGCCACAGGCGCCGCCGGCCCUCAGUGACGGCCACUUUGAGGACCGAAGAGCACCCCCAUCCCUUGUUCCUCUUCUCUGCUCAGUGAAAACAGAGAAGGAACAGUGGAAGGAGAAAUAAAGAAGAAGAGAGGGAAGAAGGAGAAGGUGGUUUUUCCUCUCCUUCGGUGCCCAUACCUCCUCCGUGGGAAGGAGAGAGCCGGCCGCCGUGGCUGCCGCCGGCCUCGACUUGACCUCUUCCGAGCUCGCCGACCUCCAUUCGUGGGAGAAAGAGGAGAAGGAAGAAGAAAGAAAAGGGGGAAGGAGAAGAAGUCGGGGAAGCUUCGGGAGAAGGAGAAAAGAAAAAGAAAAGGGAAGGGAAGAAAAGAAAAGAAAAAGAAAAGAAAAAGAAAAUAAAAGAAAAGAAAAGCAAGAAAAAGAAAAGAAAAGAAAAGAAAUAAAUAAAUAAAGGGAGAGGGUGGUUUACGGGUAUGAACCCGAAACCGAACCCGAACCCGAACCCG
RNAcentral lists this long non-coding RNA (733 nucleotides) under Phoenix dactylifera (date palm). RNAcentral's name for it is "long non-coding RNA (PDAC_LNC005690)". Lineage: Eukaryota; Viridiplantae; Streptophyta; Magnoliopsida; Arecales; Arecaceae. The record is from RNAcentral.